AUUCCAGCUCCAAUAGCGUAUAUUUAAGUUGUUGCAGUUAAAAAGCUCGUAGUUGGAUUUUGGUUAAGAGGGCGCGGUCGGCCGUUUGGUCUGUACUGCGUUGUCUUGACUUCCUGAUGAGGACAUGCUCUUGGUUAACGCUGAGACAUGGAGUCAUCGUGGUUACUUUGAAAAAAUUAGAGUGUUCAAAGCGGGCUUACGCUUGAAUAUAUUAGCAUGGAAUAACACUAUAGGACUCCUGUCCUAUCUCGUUGGUCUCGGGAUGGGAGUAAUGAUUAAGAGGAACAGUUGGGGGCAUUCGUAUUUCAUUGUCAGAGGUGAAAUUCUUGGAUUUAUGAAAGACGAACUUCUGCGAAAGCAUUUGCCAAGGAUGUUUUCAUUG
RNAcentral lists this ribosomal RNA (382 nucleotides) under Bathycoccus sp. RNAcentral describes it as "partial small subunit ribosomal RNA". It matches the Rfam family "Eukaryotic small subunit ribosomal RNA", at positions 582 to 975 of the family's 1831-position model. The record is from RNAcentral. Lineage: Eukaryota; Viridiplantae; Chlorophyta; Mamiellophyceae; Mamiellales; Bathycoccaceae.